RNAcentral lists this long non-coding RNA (202 nucleotides) under Mytilus galloprovincialis (Mediterranean mussel). The record is from RNAcentral. Lineage: Eukaryota; Metazoa; Mollusca; Bivalvia; Mytilida; Mytilidae.
GUUUUAUUUUGGUUUAUUUGGUGCCUCCAAUGAAAGUACCAAAAUUAAACACACGAAAAAAAGUCAAGGACUAAAAAUUGAAACGCCAAAUUCGGGUGCCAGUAUAAUAAUAUCGUUAUGUAACACUGUUACAUUUUAAGGAAAACAUGUUAUGUUAUUACAUGUACAUCUUCCGUAUAUUUACUACAAUUAAAUACAGAGC